AAACCAUGAUGGGGACAUUGGUUUGUGUAGCUUCUAAACUUCCUAUGCUUCCCCAAAGCUUUCAUUGUUGUGCUGGGUAAAGCUUGAGAUUUCGUUCCUCAGCUU
Molecule: small nucleolar RNA, 105 nt
Organism: Eutrema salsugineum
Lineage: Eukaryota; Viridiplantae; Streptophyta; Magnoliopsida; Brassicales; Brassicaceae
Rfam family: Plant small nucleolar RNA R71
About the family: R71 is a member of the C/D box family of snoRNAs containing the C (UGAUGA) and D (CUGA) box motifs. Multiple nearly identical copies of this snoRNA have been identified in Arabidopsis, and it is thought to function as a 2'-O-ribose methylation guide for 18S ribosomal RNA.
Source: Rfam